GAUGAACGCUGGCGGCGUGCCUAAUACAUGCAAGUCGAGCGAACAGACGAGGAGCUUGCUCCUCUGACGUUAGCGGCGGACGGGUGAGUAACACGUGGAUAACCUACCUAUAAGACUGGGAUAACUUCGUGAAACCGGAGCUAAUACCGGAUAAUAUAUUGAACCGCAUGGUUCAAUAGUGAAAGACGGUUUUGCUGUCACUUAUAGAUGGAUCCGCGCCGCAUUAGCUAGUUGGUAAGGUAACGGCUUACCAAGGCAACGAUGCGUAGCCGACCUGAGAGGGUGAUCGGCCACACUGGAACUGAGACACGGUCCAGACUCCUACGGGAGGCAUCAGUAGGGAAUCUUCCGCAAUGGGCGAAAGCCUGACGGAGCAACGCCGCGUGAGUGAUGAAGGUCUUCGGAUCGUAAAACUCUGUUAUUAGGGAAGAACAAAUGUGUAAGUAACUAUGCACGUCUUGACGGUACCUAAUCAGAAAGCCACGGCUAACUACGUG
RNAcentral lists this ribosomal RNA (497 nucleotides) under uncultured bacterium. RNAcentral's name for it is "partial 16S ribosomal RNA". It matches the Rfam family "Bacterial small subunit ribosomal RNA", at positions 28 to 507 of the family's 1533-position model. The record is from RNAcentral.